This 74-nucleotide transfer RNA is filed under the name Syntrophales bacterium. RNAcentral describes it as "tRNA-Gln". It matches the Rfam family "tRNA". From Rfam's summary of the family: Transfer RNA (tRNA) molecules are approximately 80 nucleotides in length. Their secondary structure includes four short double-helical elements and three loops (D, anti-codon, and T loops). Lineage: Bacteria; Pseudomonadati; Thermodesulfobacteriota; Syntrophia; Syntrophales. The record is from RNAcentral.
UGGGGGAUCGUUCAAUGGUAGGACAACGGACUCUGACUCCGUGAAUGGGGAUUCGACUUCCUCUCCCCCAGCCA